Ornithorhynchus anatinus (platypus) is the source of this 933-nucleotide long non-coding RNA. RefSeq lists it as uncharacterized. The record is from RefSeq and is a predicted model, not a curated record. Lineage: Eukaryota; Metazoa; Chordata; Mammalia; Monotremata; Ornithorhynchidae. The transcript has 11 exons.
CAGUGCUCUGCACGUGGUAAGCGCUCAAUAGAUACUGUUGAAUGAAUGAAUGUCCUGCCUCGGGGAGAAAAAGAACUGCAGUAGCUUUUCUCGAUGAUGAUUUUCACAGACCUAUACUGAUUUCUGUGAGGAAGAAAUACUUUCUGAAGAGACUGAGCCUUGCACCUUUUGAAGUGCCACUCUUCUGACCCAAGGGGCAAGGGGGAUAAGGAGGGGGAACCGAACUGCUUUUUGGUGCAGAAUCCCAUGAAGAACAAAAGCAAUCACGUGAUCUGACCGAUAUUUUUUCCCCUGUAGGAGCCAGUAUGGCUACGGUGUCCUGCAGGAUCCUAGGCGUCAACCAAUUCACCUGCCAUUCUCCCAACAAAAUGGGCCAAUAUGGCCAGUGUCCUUACGUGAUCAUGGGCAUCAGCAAUUCUUUAACCCAAACUAAUAAAAUGCAAUUUAUGUCCUGAGUCCAUGGACUGAAGACAGUUUUCCAACCAGCACCGACCAUCUAGUCGCAGUGAUGGCCUCUAAAAUGACAGACCCCAGAUGACCCAGCAAGGAUGGAAAAUGGAACCCAACUGGACUACAGGUAAUUUUGGGGUCUAUCCGUGGUGCUUCUGCGAGCUUCAGUUGCUGCAGCUGCUGAAGGGAAGGUGGAGAAGUAAUAAAUAUCCUGUUAUGAGAGGUCCUUAGAGAACAACUGCCAGUGCUUACCCGUUUUGAUAGGGUCAAGACAAGACUGAAUAAAGCUUCUUAUGCCUGGAAACAUUCUCAGUGUUUGGCAAGAGAAAUGGCAGUUUGGGAGAUUGUUGACUGUAUCAACUCUGACUGCCUGGAACCCUUCAAAAGAGCUGGAACAGAUGCUGUUGAGCAUUUAAGCUCAGAACAACAAAACAUGGUGAAAACAACCCUUCUCAUUCUUUAAAUAAACUUUAAAAGACUACA